This 324-nucleotide ribosomal RNA is filed under the name uncultured bacterium. Its description in RNAcentral is "bacterial SSU rRNA". It matches the Rfam family "Bacterial small subunit ribosomal RNA", at positions 28 to 334 of the family's 1533-position model. The record is from RNAcentral.
GAUGAACGCUGGCGGCGUGCUUAACACAUGCAAGUCGAACGAGAACCAUACGAUAGAGGAUUCGUCCAAUUGAAUAUGGGGAAAGUGGCGGACGGGUGAGUAACGCGUGAGCAAUCUGCCUUGGAGUGGGGAAUAACGGCUGGAAACAGCCGCUAAUACCGCAUGAUACAGCUGAGUCGCAUGGCUCUGGCUGUCAAAGAUUUAUCGCUCUGAGAUGAGCUCGCGUCUGAUUAGCUAGUUGGCGGGGUAAAGGCCCACCAAGGCGACGAUCAGUAGCCGGACUGAGAGGUUGGCCGGCCACAUUGGGACUGAGACACGGCCCAG